UACGUAGGGUGCGAGCGUUGUCCGGAAUUAUUGGGCGUAAAGGGCUCGUAGGCGGUUUGUCACGUCAGGAGUGAAAACUCGGGGCUCAACCCCGAGCCUGCUUCUGAUACGGGCAGACUAGAGGUAUGCAGGGGAGAACGGAAUUCCUGGUGUAGCGGUGAAAUGCGCAGAUAUCAGGAGGAACACCGGUGGCGAAGGCGGAUCUCUGGGCCAUUACUGACGCUGAGGAGCGAAAGCGUGGGGAGCGAACAGG
This 253-nucleotide ribosomal RNA is filed under the name uncultured bacterium. RNAcentral describes it as "partial 16S ribosomal RNA". It matches the Rfam family "Bacterial small subunit ribosomal RNA", at positions 524 to 776 of the family's 1533-position model. The record is from RNAcentral.